GAGAUUUCCGAAUGGGGAAACCCAGCAUGAGUUAUGUCAUGUUAUCGAUAUGUGAAUACAUAGCAUAUCAGAAGGCAGACCCGGAGAACUGAAACAUCUUAGUACCCGGAGGAAGAGAAAGAAAAAUCGAUUCCCUGAGUAGCGGCGAGCGAAACGGGAAGAGCCCAAACCAACAAGCUUGCUUGUUGGGGUUGUAGGACACUCUAUACGGAGUUACAAAAGUAUAUAUUAGACGAAUCAUCUGGAAAGUUGAAUCAAAGAAGGUAAUAAUCCUGUAGUCGAAAAUAUAUACUCUCUUGAGUGGAUCCUGAGUACGACGGAGCACGUGAAAUUCCGUCGGAAUCUGGGAGGACCAU
Molecule: ribosomal RNA, 356 nt
Filed under: Brevibacterium casei
Lineage: Bacteria; Bacillati; Actinomycetota; Actinomycetes; Micrococcales; Brevibacteriaceae
Description: bacterial LSU rRNA
Rfam family: Bacterial large subunit ribosomal RNA
Source: RNAcentral